Molecule: small RNA, 731 nt
Filed under: Pongo abelii (Sumatran orangutan)
Lineage: Eukaryota; Metazoa; Chordata; Mammalia; Primates; Hominidae
Description: retained intron
Source: RNAcentral
AGUUCAGCUUCUUAGGACUCUGCACUUCCCCAGAAGGAAGAAUUAAAAAUGAAUAUGUUCAAGGAAGCAGUGACCUUCAAGGACGUGGCUGUGGCCUUCACGGAGGAGGAGUUGGGGCUGCUGGGCCCUGCCCAGAGGAAGCUGUACCGAGAUGUGAUGGUGGAGAACUUUAGGAACCUGCUGUCAGUGGGUGAGGACAGCCUCUCUCUGGAAUAUCUUUGUGCCCUUGGAGUUUUUAGGCUUUGUGGCCCUUGAAAUGGUUCCCUGAGUGUGGGAACCUGACUUUCCUAAUUUUUAUGGGAUGCAGAGACACUGGAUGUUUCUGGUCUUUCUGAACAGAAUAUUUUAGGUCUUUUUCAUUUGUGAUUUAUAGAAGAACUAUAAAUGAACAGAAUACUGCUAUGCCUUGUCUGUUCUUUUUCAUGUUUUACACCUGUCCCAAUAUUGAAUUAUAAAACCAAUUUAUUGAAUGCCACCAGCAGAUUUUAAUGAAAUAAAAUAGGGCAGAAAAUACUAGAACUCCUUAGGAAGAAUGGCACACACUGCAGCAAAAACUGGCCAGUUGUUUGAGUGAUGUGAGAACCAAUGGGAGAUUUAAUGAAAACAGACAUUAGUUAAAAAUAGGUUAUUCAGACUUGGUUUUCAUAAUAUGUAUUUACGCAUGUGUGUCUGGGUCAUGAAAUAAAUGGUGUUUCUUUACUGAGUCACGAUUUAAAUAAAAGUUUGAAAAA